AUUGAACGCUGGCGGCAGGCUUAACACAUGCAAGUCGAGCGGGGGAAGGUAGCUUGCUACCGGACCUAGCGGCGGACGGGUGAGUAAUGCUUAGGAAUCUGCCUAUUAGUGGGGGACAACAUCUCGAAAGGGAUGCUAAUACCGCAUACGUCCUACGGGAGAAAGCAGGGGAUCUUCGGACCUUGCGCUAAUAGAUGAGCCUAAGUCGGAUCAGGUAGUUGGUGGGGUAAAGGCCUACCAAGGCGACGAUCUGUAGCGGGUCUGAGAGGAUGAUCCGCCACACUGGGACUGAGACACGGCCCAGACUCCUACGGGAGGCAGCAGUGGGGAAUAUUGGACAAUGGGGGGAACCCUGAUCCAGCCAUGCCGCGUGUGUGAAGAAGGCCUUAUGGUUGUAAAGCACUUUAAGCGAGGAGGAGGCUACUCUAGUUAAUACCUAGGGAUAGUGGACGUUACUCGCAGAAUAAGCACCGGCUAACUCUGUGCCAGCCGCCGCGGUAA
This 501-nucleotide ribosomal RNA is filed under the name uncultured bacterium. RNAcentral's name for it is "partial 16S ribosomal RNA". It matches the Rfam family "Bacterial small subunit ribosomal RNA", at positions 30 to 523 of the family's 1533-position model. The record is from RNAcentral.